CACGAACGGGCUCCGGGAGCGGCGGCGGCGGGGCCCCGGGGAGCGCACGGCCCCGGAGCCGGCCCGGCACAGCGAGCGGGGCGCGGGCACCACCUGGUGCUCGCCGCGCAGAAACGCACCCGGGGGUGCCCCGGAGCCGCGGCCCCGGCCCCCGCACCCUGCCCCUGCCCCGGAGCCCCCCCGGCGCCUCCCAGCGCUGUCCGCCAGCAGCGGCCGAUUUCCAAACCGCCUCCGAGCGCAAAGCCCCCGCCUGCCCAGGUCCCCCCCGGCCCUGCAGGGGCACGGAGCGCUCCGGGAGCCGGCGCCGCGUCCUCGAUUCGCGGGAGGCUGCGGGCACCGGGGCGAGCGGGCGGCACCGGCGGGAGCCGGGUGCCCGGUGCCGGCCCCGCAGCUCCCGGCAGGGAGCAGCACGGGGCCGAUCCCCCCCCGGCUCCCCGGCCGCUGCCAGCCCCGGCGAACAAAAGGCACAGGCAGGGCUUUGUGCCGGGUCGGGCAGGCCCCCUAAUCCUCAUCAAGGAAAUUAAGCCACGCAUUGAUUUUUAUUUUUUUCUUUUUCAUCACCCGCGAGCCCGGGGCCGGCGGUGCCAGGGCUUGCAUAACCCGCCGACGUGCAGCAGGACCACCAGGACAGCAGAGCCGCUACCGGCUGCUGCUGCUCCCGAGGCCAGGCUCCACGCCCGUGACCCCCCCAGGCAGGGAGAAGCAGCUCCUGGUGCACGCAGAGCCCAGCUGCACGCCCCCCCGCAGGACAGGGAGCCCCUGCUGCAUCCUCUCUGCAUGCAAGGGAAUCAGACGGAGGCCUUACACCCCUGUUUUGUCCCCCAGGAAAGAACAGGGAGAAAGAAAUUGCUUAGAGAGGUGCGAUGCAUCAAGCACAGAUGCUGCAGGCUCUGCUCCUGAGGGUCAGGAGAGCAGAGACCCUUCACUGCUGCAGGCUCCUCACACCUCCCACAUUCACCCCCCUUACAGAAAUUGAGAGGUCCCAGCCAGUCCCACACAUUCUGGUUCACAGAGCUCCCGAG
RNAcentral lists this long non-coding RNA (1022 nucleotides) under Anas platyrhynchos platyrhynchos (common mallard). RNAcentral's name for it is "lncRNA (ENSAPLG00000025669.1)". The record is from RNAcentral. Lineage: Eukaryota; Metazoa; Chordata; Aves; Anseriformes; Anatidae.